This 469-nucleotide ribosomal RNA is filed under the name uncultured bacterium. RNAcentral's name for it is "partial 16S ribosomal RNA". It matches the Rfam family "Bacterial small subunit ribosomal RNA", at positions 28 to 508 of the family's 1533-position model. The record is from RNAcentral.
GAUGAACGCUGGCGGCGUGCUUAACACAUGCAAGUCGAACGGAAAGGCCAGUGCUUGCACUGGUACUCGAGUGGCGAACGGGUGAGUAACACGUGGGUGAUCUGCCCUGCACUUCGGGAUAAGCCUGGGAAACUGGGGCUAAUACCGGAUAGGACAAUGGUUUGGAUGCCGUUGUGGAAAGUUUUUUCGGUGUGGGAUGAGCUCGCGGCCUAUCAGCUUGUUGGUGGGGUAUUGGCCUACCAAGGCGUCGAAGGGUAGCCGGCCUGAGAGGGUGUGAGGCCACGUUCAGACUCCGAUGCGGGGCAGAAGCAGGCGGUAGGCAGCAGUGGGGGAAAGUGCACAAUGGGCGCAAGCCGGAUGCGGCGACGGCGCGUGGGGGGUGACGGUCUUCGGGUUGUAAACACCAUACGCGAGGGACGAAGCGCAUUUGUGGCGGUACCUGGAGAAGAAGCACCGGCUAACUACGUGC